UCCCUAGUGGCUCAGACGAUAAGGCGUCUGUCUGCAACGCAGGAGACCCGGGUUCGAUCCCUGGGUUGGGAA
Non-coding RNA from Bos taurus (domestic cattle), 72 nucleotides. The record is from Rfam. NCBI's taxonomy places the organism in Eukaryota, Metazoa, Chordata, Mammalia, Artiodactyla, Bovidae.